AAACCAGCACCUCAAGUGGUCAGGAGGAUUAUUGGGCCUAAAGCAUCCGUAGCCUGUUCUAUAAGUUUCCGGUUAAAUCCACUAGCUCAACUAGUGGGCUGCCGAAAAUACUGUAGAACUAGGGAGUGGGAGAGGUAGACGGUAUUCGGUAGGAAGGGGUAAAAUCCUUUGAUCUAUUGAGGACCACCUGUGGCGAAGGCGGUCUAUCAGAACACGUCCGACGGUGAGGGAUGAAAGCUGGGGGAGCAAACCGGAUUAGAAACCCUGGUAGUCC
RNAcentral lists this ribosomal RNA (274 nucleotides) under uncultured bacterium. Its description in RNAcentral is "partial 16S ribosomal RNA". It matches the Rfam family "Archaeal small subunit ribosomal RNA", at positions 473 to 747 of the family's 1478-position model. The record is from RNAcentral.